This 500-nucleotide ribosomal RNA is filed under the name uncultured bacterium. Its description in RNAcentral is "bacterial SSU rRNA". It matches the Rfam family "Bacterial small subunit ribosomal RNA", at positions 29 to 517 of the family's 1533-position model. The record is from RNAcentral.
AGUGAACGCUGGCGGCAGGCCUAAUACAUGCAAGUCGAACGGCAGCACGGCAGAGCUUGCUCUGUGGGUGGCGAGUGGCGGACGGGUGAGGAAUACAUGGGAAUUUGCCCAGUCGUGGGGGAUAACGUAGGGAAACUUACGCUAAUACCGCAUGCGCCCUUCGGGGGAAAGCCGGGGACCUUCGGGCCUGGCGCGAUUGGAUGAGCCCAUGUCGGAUUAGCUAGUUGGCGGGGUAAUGGCCCACCAAGGCGACGAUCCGUAGCUGGUCUGAGAGGAUGAUCAGCCACACUGGAACUGAGACACGGUCCAGACUCCUACGGGAGGCAGCAGUAGGGAAUAUUGGACAAUGGGCGCAAGCCUGAUCCAGCCAUGCCGCGUGAGUGAAGAAGGCCCUCGGGUUGUAAAGCUCUUUUGUCCGGAAAGAAAAGCGCCGGGUUAAUACCCUGGUGUCCUGACGGUACCGGAAGAAUAAGCACCGGCUAACUUCGUGCCAGCAGCCG